UACGGAGGGCGCAAGCGUUGUUCGGAAUCAUUGGGCGUAAAGCGCGUGUAGGCGGCUUGGCAAGUCGGGUGUGAAAUCCCGGGGCCCAACCCCGGAACUGCAUUCGAAACUGCCUCGCUCGAGUCCCGGAGAGGAAGUCGGAAUUCCCGGUGUAGAGGUGAAAUUCGUAGAUAUCGGGAGGAACACCAGCGGCGAAGGCGGCCUUCUGGACGGUGACUGACGCUGAUACGCGAAAGCGUCAGGAGCAAACAGU
This 253-nucleotide ribosomal RNA is filed under the name uncultured bacterium. RNAcentral's name for it is "partial 16S ribosomal RNA". It matches the Rfam family "Bacterial small subunit ribosomal RNA", at positions 524 to 776 of the family's 1533-position model. The record is from RNAcentral.